CCUCAGGGACUAAAAGAAUGACACAUGGAUAAACAGGAACUAAGCUCCUAAGCUUUUCACCUACCUGCCAUCUUCCUCACCACGCAUGAGGAUUAGAAGCGUCACAAAGAAAGCAGUCUCGGAAGUUUGUCAAAUAGAGAUUUCUGGGUGAUGGUUUGGGAAAGGAUGAUUUAGAUCGUGCCUCUCCUGGGUGAGGAAAGUGACUGAAACACAUAACAGCAGAGAACUUGAAGUGCUGGUUUGAGCUUCAGGAGAUGUGAGUUCUAGCCCCAGUGCUGCCUGUGAUUUUCUCUGUGACCUGGGACAAGUCCCUUGUGGAUACGACAGGAUGUGCGGGCUACAAGGAUCUCUGAGACUUCUCCCAGUGAACUUCUCUCAUAUUCUACAUCUUAAGACAAUGGAUAUAUUUUCUCAAACUGGUCAGACAGUUAAAGAGUCAUCUUACAGGACAAAUGAGAUAAAGUUAUGCUCCUGGAAGAUGUCCUGGGUUACAUAUGCAAGAAUGAUGAUCUGGGUUUCUGUGUGAUCUUGAGCAAGAUUCUCCAUCUCUGGGUCUCAAGUUCUUCAUCUGACUACUUCUGUCCAAAGCCACAUUCAGAAGUCACGGUGAACAUUCAGGAACAGCCACACAGGGCAAGGCGUGCUGCAUUCAUCUACUGUGCAACAGUGGGGGAUUCAGGGACAGAGCACAGCCACAGCCUGGUAAAGAAACUGGCAUGGAAACAACUUAUGAUAACUGCAGUAAAAGAGGGAACCCAGGGCACAAGCUUAUGGAAGAAGAAUUUUCUUAUUUUAUCCAGCUCCCAUUUAUUGAUGCCUGACUCUGAACCCACAUCUGAGAAAGCAAUGAAGUGGGGGAGAUUCCUGUAGGUGACACAUUUUUCCAAAUUUAGAACAGGUAUUUGACUGUUUUAUUAUUUUCUCAUCUUGUAUCUUUUACUUUAUAGCCCAAGUUCUCUAGAAUUUUAUUGAGAGUACAAAGUAGAUGCAGUUCCUUUUUUAUAUAUA
Molecule: long non-coding RNA, 1008 nt
Filed under: Pan troglodytes (chimpanzee)
Lineage: Eukaryota; Metazoa; Chordata; Mammalia; Primates; Hominidae
Description: lncRNA (ENSPTRG00000054593.1)
Source: RNAcentral